UCCACGCAGUAAACGUUGUACACUAGGUGUAGCGGGUAUUGACCCCUGCUGUGCCGGAGCUAACGCAUUAAGUGUACCGCCUGGGGAGUACGGUCGCAAGACUAAAACUCAAAGAAAUUGACGGGGGCCCGCACAAGCGGUGGAGCAUGUGGUUUAAUUCGACGCUCAUCAUGGCCCUUAUGGCUAGGGCUACACACGUGCUACAAUGGGGCGUACAGAGAGUUGCGAUACCGCGAGGUGGAGCUAAUCUCACAAAGCGUCUCUCAGUUCGGAUUGUUCUCUGCAACUCGAGAACAUGAAGCUGGAAUCACUAGUAAUCGUAGAUCAGCAAUGCUACGG
RNAcentral lists this ribosomal RNA (339 nucleotides) under uncultured bacterium. RNAcentral describes it as "bacterial SSU rRNA". It matches the Rfam family "Bacterial small subunit ribosomal RNA", at positions 794 to 1362 of the family's 1533-position model. The record is from RNAcentral.